AAUCAGACCGAUUCCACGUGGACGAAGACUUUCCACACUUAUCAAAAGAAUUGAAAAAUUAAAAUAAAAG
Non-coding RNA from Caenorhabditis elegans, 70 nucleotides. The record is from Ensembl. NCBI's taxonomy places the organism in Eukaryota, Metazoa, Nematoda, Chromadorea, Rhabditida, Rhabditidae.